Molecule: ribosomal RNA, 445 nt
Filed under: uncultured bacterium
Lineage: Bacteria
Description: partial 16S ribosomal RNA
Rfam family: Bacterial small subunit ribosomal RNA
Source: RNAcentral
GUGAGGAAUAUUGGUCAAUGGGCGGGAGCCUGAACCAGCCAAGUCGCGUGAAGGAAGAAGGAUCUAUGGUUCGUAAACUUCUUUUGCAGGGGAAUAAAGUGCAGGACGUGUCCUGUUUUGUAUGUACCCUGAGAAUAAGGAUCGGCUAACUCCGUGCCAGCAGCCGCGGUAAUACGGAGGAUCCGAGCGUUAUCCGGAUUUAUUGGGUUUAAAGGGUGCGUAGGUGGUUUGAUAAGUCAGCGGUGAAAGUUUGCAGCUUAACUGUAAAAAUGCCGUUGAAACUGUCGGACUUGAGUGUAAAUGAGGUAGGCGGAAUGCGUGGUGUAGCGGUGAAAUGCAUAGAUAUCACGCAGAACUCCGAUUGCGAAGGCAGCUUACUAAGCUACAACUGACACUGAAGCACGAAAGCGUGGGGAUCAAACAGGAUUAGAUACCCCAGUAGUAC